GGGCCUAUAGCUCAGUCGGUUAGAGCAGCGGACUCAUAAUCCGUUGGUCCACAGUUCAAGUCUGUGUGGGCCCACCA
RNAcentral lists this transfer RNA (77 nucleotides) under Acinetobacter baumannii. Its description in RNAcentral is "tRNA-Ile". It matches the Rfam family "tRNA". Rfam says of the family: Transfer RNA (tRNA) molecules are approximately 80 nucleotides in length. Their secondary structure includes four short double-helical elements and three loops (D, anti-codon, and T loops). Further hydrogen bonds mediate the characteristic L-shaped molecular structure. tRNAs have two regions of fundamental functional importance: the anti-codon, which is responsible for specific mRNA codon recognition, and the 3' end, to which the tRNAs corresponding amino acid is attached (by aminoacyl-tRNA synthetases). tRNAs cope with the degeneracy of the genetic code in two manners: having more than one tRNA (with a specific anti-codon) for a particular amino acid; and 'wobble' base-pairing, i.e. permitting non-standard base-pairing at the 3rd anti-codon position. RNAcentral also lists the same sequence under 2 other names. Lineage: Bacteria; Pseudomonadati; Pseudomonadota; Gammaproteobacteria; Moraxellales; Moraxellaceae. The record is from RNAcentral.